UACGGAGGGUGCAAGCGUUAUCCGGAUUCACUGGGUUUAAAGGGUGCGUAGGUGGAAUGGUAAGUCAGUGGUGAAAUCUCCAAGCUUAACUUGGAAACUGCCGUUGAUACUAUCAUUCUUGAAUAUCGUGGAGGUGAGCGGAAUAUGUCAUGUAGCGGUGAAAUGCUUAGAUAUGACACAGAACACCGAUUGCGAAGGCAGCUCGCUAAACUGUGAUUGACGCUGAGGCACGAAAGCGUGGGGAUCAAACAGG
Molecule: ribosomal RNA, 253 nt
Filed under: uncultured bacterium
Lineage: Bacteria
Description: partial 16S ribosomal RNA
Rfam family: Bacterial small subunit ribosomal RNA
Source: RNAcentral